GGCGGGGUGGGGGCGUGUAAACGAGACGCAGAAGUUACCGUAAAGCCCAGAAGAUAUUCGUACACACACACAAAAAAGACUCCAGACCAGUUUCACUUUACUGCUCCUAAUUACCUAUUGUUCGACGGGUAAUUUGGGGAGACGGAUUAACAGCCCUCCCUUAGAAUUGCAAAAUCAAUCUCCUUUGCUCAAGCUACUAGAAUCCAGAUCUUCCCAUUUACGGCGCGAUCCUAAAUUCCAGAUCUGUUUACUCGGAAGCCCCACGAAUUGGGGUUGGAUCGACGGUUCCGUCAGGCCAGGAAUUUGGCUCAGUGGUGCAGUAGGGCUGGGCGGGAAGUCAGUAGGGCUGGCUGCUUACCACAUUUUGAAACAAGUGAAAUAACACACGUGGCCAUCUAAGGCGGGAGGAGCCGCCACAGGACCAUCGAGAUGGAUUCUUUUUAAUGGGUUAACCUCCCGAGUGAGUAAAGUUGCACUCCUACAACCCAGUACAGUACUAGGCAUAUUUACUCACACUUACUCUGUGAUAACCGUGCACAGGAUUGCAAGCUUCUGCAUACUCCGCAGUAAGUAAAUGGGGUUUUCACCGCCUGAGAAAUCUCUAUUUAGGGUCAGGCACUACUGCUGACAGAGGCUUAGCAUAAUAGAAUCAUGGAGUUCAAAGGGACCCUGAGGAUCAUCUAGUCCAGCUCGCUGCUACUACAACCUGCACCAUUGAACAGUGAUCGGUAUUAACAGGUUGAUAUAAUCUGGGUACUGAACAUGACAUGAUUUUGUUUUGUAUGGAAAAUUGUCUUUCCCAUCCCCCCAUCAGAAGUGAACUCUAGUUCACCAAAGCUUAAGGAAUCUGUUCAUCUUUAAAGUACCAGAUUUGUUUUGCUGCUGCAGGCUAGCAUGGUGGCUUAUUUUGAAGCUUCCAAACAUGGACCUAUACUUGAGCAAAUCUCACUAGUUUCAUCCUAUUGUCUUUAUGAGUAACUGAAUUUAGGGACCAUCUACUGCUUAUAAAAGGCUCGUUCCCAAGUAAGCUCUGAUCCUAAACACUAUGGAAAGUAAAUUAAAGCGCUGCUUUUGACUUAUAAAGCCUUAAAUGGCUCAGGAUUGCAAUACCUCAAGGAACGCCUCUCCCCAAAUGAACCAACCCAGACCCUGCGAUCACCAUCUGAGGCCCCCUUCAUGAGAGGUCUGUUAUCUUUCCACAAGGGCCAACAUUGAUGCCGAAAUCCAGCAUUGCCUGAGCUCUGCGAGUGCGGCUUUCUCCCGAUUGAAGUGCAGAGUGUUUGAGGACUGGGACAUUCGCAGGGAAACCAAAAUGCUUCUUUACAAAGCUAUUGUACUAACAACUUCACUGUAUGCUUGUGAAACAUGGACCACUUAUAAACGCCAUCUCCAGCUCCUUGAAAGAUUCCAUCAAUGGUGUCUCCGAAAAAUUUUACACAUCACUUGGGAAGACAGAUGAACUAAUAUCAGUGUACUGGAAGAAGCAAAGAUCACCAGUGUUGAAGCAAUGAUUCUUCAACAUCAACUUCGUUGGACUGGUCACGUUGUAUGGAUGCCUGAUGAUCGUCUUCCAAAGCAACUACAGUGGUGCCCCGCAAGACGAAUGCCUCGCAAGACAGAAAACUCACUAGACGAAAGGGUUUUCCAUUUUUUGAGCUGCUUCGCAAGACAAAUUUCCCUAUGGGCUUGUUCGCAAGACGAAAACGUCUUGCAAGUUUGUUUCCUUUUUCGUAAAACCGUUAAUACCCAGGGUGCAUUGCUUGAAGAGGUGCAGUUGCGACUUGACUUCGAGGAGCAACACAUUGCACGUGGUGUGGUAGCCUUUUCUGAGGUUUUUGAGGACUUUGCUGAUUUUUGAAGCUUUUCCAAAACUUCUUUUGCAGCCAUUUGGUAAGUUAAACUUUUAAAACUUUUUUGGAGGGGUUUGGAUUUUGGGUUGGGGUGUUUGGAAUUCAAGGACUUGGUUUGCAAGAAUCUGGGAGCUUGUGUGGGUUUUUUUGAAUUUUUAUGAUUUUCUGUGACCAUUGGGGCACUCUGCUGUUUUUUUAAAAAAAAAUUCUGGGUUUGAAUUUCUGUGUGGUGGGUGGCUGGGGGAACAGUUGAGGAGGGGUUUGCAAGAAUCUGGGAGCUUGUGUGGUUUUUUUUUAAUUUUUAUGAUUUUCUGUGACCAUUGGGCCAUGUUGUUUUUUUUCCAAAAAAAAUUCUGAGUUUGAAUUUCUGUGUGGUGGGUGGCUGGGGGAGCAGUUGGGGAGGGGUUUGCAACAGUUGGGGAGGGGUUUGCAACAGUUGGGGAGGGGUUUGCAAUUUCUGUGUGGUGGGUGGGUGGGGGAACAGUUGAGGUUUUUGAAGACUUUGGUGAUUUUUAAAGCUUUUCCAAAACUUCUUUUGCAGCCAUUUGAGGAUUUUGAAGACUUUGGUGAUUUGCAGCCACUUCGUAAGUUAAACUUUUAAAACUUUUUUGGGGGUUUUUGGAUUUUGGGUUGGGUGUUUGGAAUUCAAGGACUUGGUUCUGGGUUUGAAUUCCUGUGUGGUAGGUGGCUGGGUGCUUUUGAAUUUUUUGGGUGUGAAGCACUGAUUAUUAUUAUUAUUUUUUCUGAGUUUACGAAGCUAGGAGCUGUGCUGCCAUGGGACCCAAGAAGACUGCUGCUGCAGAGGCCGGCGAGAGGAAGAAGGAGAAGGUGACGCUGGAAAUGAAGAAGGAGAUCAUCCGGAAGCACGACGGUGGAAUGCGUGUGACAGACCUCGCCAGGGAGUACGGCAGGAACCCAUCGACCAUCGGCACCAUCCUGAAGAUGAGGGAGAAGAUCCUUGCGACUGAUGCAGCCAAGGGAGUCACCAGGAUCGUGAAGAACCGCCCAGCUGUUCUGGAGGAGGUCGAGAAGUUGCUGCUCAUCUGGUUAGAAGAGAAGCAGCGUGCAGGGGACACAGUGACUGAGGGCGUGAUUUGUGAGAAGGCCAAGGCCUUGCACGCAGACCUCAUCCGGGAACAGCCAGGAACCUCAGGCGAGCCAGAAGUCUUCAAGGCAAGCAGAGGCUGGUUUGACUGGUUCAAGACAAGAUCUGGAAUCCACAGGGUGGUCAGGCAUGGAGAGGCUGCCAGUUCUGAUGUUCCUGCGGCUGAAGACUUUGCAGCGGAGUUCCUGGAGGUUGUGUCCUCCAAAGAACUGAGGGACAUUUGCCAGAAGUGGAAAGAUGUGCAGGCUUUUGCACAGCGGCACCACCCUGACAAGGACCUGACACGUGACCUUGCGAACACUUUUGAUACGAGGGUCAUGUCGUCUUUCAGGGAGGUGCUGAAAAGGCGGAUGAAGCAGCAGACCAUGGACAGGUUCUUCAGCAAGAAGCAAAGAGUGGAAGAGGAACCUUCUUCGAGUUGUCCCCCAGAGUCUUAGAAAAUGUACUGUACACUUUGAUGAUUUUAAAAUGUUUUUCUGUCAUGUUUAGAAACUUAAUUUAUUGUUCCUUCAAUUUUUGAAAUGCUCUUUACAGUAUGUGUGACUUUAAAGAGCACUUAAUAAACUCUUGUUGUACCA
This 3533-nucleotide long non-coding RNA is filed under the name Podarcis lilfordi (Lilford's wall lizard). The record is from RNAcentral. Lineage: Eukaryota; Metazoa; Chordata; Lepidosauria; Squamata; Lacertidae.